This 96-nucleotide small RNA is filed under the name Salmonella enterica subsp. enterica serovar Saintpaul. RNAcentral describes it as "partial RtT sRNA". It matches the Rfam family "RtT RNA", at positions 41 to 130 of the family's 130-position model. From Rfam's summary of the family: This family represents a bacterial cis-regulatory element known as RtT RNA. The exact function of RtT is unknown although it is thought that it may be involved in changing the cellular response in relation to amino acid starvation. The record is from RNAcentral. Lineage: Bacteria; Pseudomonadati; Pseudomonadota; Gammaproteobacteria; Enterobacterales; Enterobacteriaceae.
GUUCGGUGGAAACGAGUAUAAAACGUGAAGGAUAACGUUGCGUCAGCAACGGCCCGUAGGGCGAGGCAAAGCCGAGUCAUCCUGCACAACCCACUA